AUAUCUCUCCGUACGGGAAGGAUGAGAAGCUUCGACCAGGGUACGAUUCGAGCGCAGCGAGAAAGCGUUGCCGCAGGCAACGGCCCGAAGGGCGAAGCGCGCAGCGCUGAGUCAUCCUUCCCCCACCACCA
RNAcentral lists this small RNA (131 nucleotides) under Salmonella enterica. Its description in RNAcentral is "RtT sRNA". It matches the Rfam family "RtT RNA". From Rfam's summary of the family: This family represents a bacterial cis-regulatory element known as RtT RNA. The exact function of RtT is unknown although it is thought that it may be involved in changing the cellular response in relation to amino acid starvation. Lineage: Bacteria; Pseudomonadati; Pseudomonadota; Gammaproteobacteria; Enterobacterales; Enterobacteriaceae. The record is from RNAcentral. RNAcentral also lists the same sequence under 1 other name.